Long non-coding RNA from Corvus hawaiiensis (hawaiian crow), 1213 nucleotides. RefSeq lists it as uncharacterized. The record is from RefSeq and is a predicted model, not a curated record. The transcript is spliced from 4 exons. Lineage: Eukaryota; Metazoa; Chordata; Aves; Passeriformes; Corvidae.
UGCACUAGUGUCUGUAGUAGCUCCUCUGCUUUUCUGUGCACUGAAAUGUUCUUGUUUUUAAUACCCCCCCUUUCCGCCCCGUGGUGAAGGUGCCUGGGUAAAUGGAUCAAAACCUGGUGGGCAACUGGGUUAGGAAGAGGUGAAGGUGAAGAUCAAUAGAGGUUUUAGGGCUGGCUGUGUCUGUUGUGCUGGGUUUGUGUGACUGUGCCCAGAGGGCGGAGUUCCUGCACAUUCCUACCUCACCGGAGAACCUGCCCUCAACUCCACUUCAGCUACUCCAGAGAGAUGGGACCCUCCAGAAGAAACCUGCCCAGCAAUCCUUCCCGCCAGAAGGAUGCCAGGAGAAACUGCCUCUACCUGCAAGAAAGGCGCACGAUGGCAUUUGGGGAUAGGAGUCCUCCGACGGCACCGGAUCACUGGAGGCAAACAUCGAAUUAAUUGGAUCUCAAUGACUGAGGUAUCUGUGGAGGAAGAAGGUGACGUGACGAGAAAAGCCUGACAGCCAAAGUGGGAACUGUCCGGGAGAAGGAUCCGUGAUGAAUGAGGUCUGCGAAGUCAUGAUGCACAAGCAGCUCAGGACAGUGUGCUGGCAUCAAAUGCCUGGUUUUGUUCGCUAGAACCAAAAAGAAAAAUGGGGGGGGUGGGGGGGUGAAGGCGGGGUGAGAGAUGAGGGAUACUGGGGAGCGGGUCAGUGAGGAUUGGGAGUGAGAGAUCGGAGAAGUUAGUGGCUGUAGUGUUAGCGUGAGUUCAUCGUCUCCUCGGGAGAAGGAGAAGCUGCGUUUGUCAAACGGGCUAGAGCCCUGACGAGAGGCAGAGGCGCCAUCGGAGCGCUCCGAGAUGCGGCUGUGAAAUCUGGAUUCUGGCCGACUCGAGGGACAGUACUUUACAAAAUAAUCGGUCCCAAAAUCUUCCAGGCAGGUGUUCGAGGUUAAGUCAGGCUCUUCGAUAAUCGCCGACUCAUCGUAGGGAACAAUUCUGCCCCGGGGCAGGGGAUAGGAUGGGAAAGGCGGUUGCGAAGUCGGAGAGACAUUACUACAUAAACUAAAAUCCUACUAAAAUUGCAAGCAUUAUUUCAUUCCUGGAGUAAUUUCGUGCAGAACUGGAGGUUCUUCCUCGGGUUUGGCGGGAAAGGCUGUGGUGUGUAACUUCUUGAAUUGUUUUUGACCGUGCACUGUAUUGCCAUAAUGCCAAUAAACGCUUUAAACGCGUCUUA